This 253-nucleotide ribosomal RNA is filed under the name uncultured bacterium. RNAcentral describes it as "partial 16S ribosomal RNA". It matches the Rfam family "Bacterial small subunit ribosomal RNA", at positions 524 to 776 of the family's 1533-position model. The record is from RNAcentral.
UACAGAGGUCUCAAGCGUUGUUCGGAUUCAUUGGGCGUAAAGGGUGUGUAGGCGGCUAGAUAGGUCCGUUGUGAAAACUCGAGGCUCAACCUCGAGACGUCGAUGGAAACCAUCUGGCUAGAGUCCGGAAGAGGAGAGUGGAAUUCCUGGUGUAGCGGUGAAAUGCGCAGAUAUCAGGAGGAACACCAAUGGCGAAGGCAGCACUCUGGGACGUGACUGACGCUGAGACGCGAAAGCGUGGGGAGCAAACAGG